UAGGGAAUAUUAGUAAUGGGCGAAAGCCUGAACUAGCAACGCCGCGUGUGUGAAGAAGGCCUUCGGGUCGUAAAGCACUUUUUGAGAGGAUGAGGAAGGGCGGUACUCUCAGAAUAAGUCUCGGCUAACUACGUGCCAGCAGCCGCGGUAACACGUAGGAGGCAAACGUUAUCCGGAUUUACUGGGCGUAAAGCGCGUGUAGGUGGUUUGGUAAGUAGGGCGUGAAAGCUCCUGGCUCAACUGGGAGAGGACGUUCUAAACUGCCAAGCUUGAGGAUGGUAGAGGGAGGUGGAAUGCCGGGUGUAGCGGUGGAAUGCGCAGAUAUCCGGAGGAACACCAGUGGCGAAGGCGGCCUCCUGGACCACUCCUGACACUCAGACGCGAAAGCUAGGGUAGCAAACGG
RNAcentral lists this ribosomal RNA (403 nucleotides) under uncultured bacterium. RNAcentral describes it as "bacterial SSU rRNA". It matches the Rfam family "Bacterial small subunit ribosomal RNA", at positions 355 to 775 of the family's 1533-position model. The record is from RNAcentral.